UUUUAUGGAGAGUUUGAUCCUGGCUCAGGAUGAACGCUGGCGGCGUGCCUAAUACAUGCAAGUCGAGCGAACGGACGAGAAGCUUGCUUCUCUGAUGUUAGCGGCGGACGGGUGAGUAACACGUGGAUAACCUACCUAUAAGACUGGGAUAACUUCGGGAAACCGGAGCUAAUACCGGAUAAUAUUUUGAACCGCAUGGUUCAAAAGUGAAAGACGGUCUUGCUGUCACUUAUAGAUGGAUCCGCGCUGCAUUAGCUAGUUGGUAAGGUAACGGCUUACCAAGGCAACGAUGCAUAGCCGACCUGAGAGGGUGAUCGGCCACACUGGAACUGAGACACGGUCCAGACUCCUACGGGAGGCAGCAGUAGGGAAUCUUCCGCAAUGGGCGAAAGCCUGACGGAGCAACGCCGCGUGAGUGAUGAAGGUCUUCGGAUCGUAAAACUCUGUUAUUAGGGAAGAACAUAUGUGUAAGUAACUGUGCACAUCUUGACGGUACCUAAUCAGAAAGCCACGGCUAACUACGUGCCAGCAGCCGCGGUAAUACGUAGGUGGCAAGCGUUAUCCGGAAUUAUUGGGCGUAAAGCGCGCGUAGGCGGUUUUUUAAGUCUGAUGUGAAAGCCCACGGCUCAACCGUGGAGGGUCAUUGGAAACUGGAAAACUUGAGUGCAGAAGAGGAAAGUGGAAUUCCAUGUGUAGCGGUGAAAUGCGCAGAGAUAUGGAGGAACACCAGUGGCGAAGGCGACUUUCUGGUCUGUAACUGACGCUGAUGUGCGAAAGCGUGGGGAUCAAACAGGAUUAGAUACCCUGGUAGUCCACGCCGUAAACGAUGAGUGCUAAGUGUUAGGGGGUUUCCGCCCCUUAGUGCUGCAGCUAACGCAUUAAGCACUCCGCCUGGGGAGUACGACCGCAAGGUUGAAACUCAAAGGAAUUGACGGGGACCCGCACAAGCGGUGGAGCAUGUGGUUUAAUUCGAAGCAACGCGAAGAACCUUACCAAAUCUUGACAUCCUUUGACAACUCUAGAGAUAGAGCCUUCCCCUUCGGGGGACAAAGUGACAGGUGGUGCAUGGUUUUCGUCCU
This 1079-nucleotide ribosomal RNA is filed under the name Staphylococcus aureus. RNAcentral's name for it is "bacterial SSU rRNA". It matches the Rfam family "Bacterial small subunit ribosomal RNA", at positions 1 to 1058 of the family's 1533-position model. Lineage: Bacteria; Bacillati; Bacillota; Bacilli; Caryophanales; Staphylococcaceae. The record is from RNAcentral.